AACGAACGCUGGCGGCAUGCCUAACACAUGCAAGUCGAACGAGACCUUCGGGUCUAGUGGCGCACGGGUGCGUAACGCGUGGGAACCUGCCCUUAGGUUCGGAAUAACUCCCCGAAAGGGGUGCUAAUACCGGAUAAUGUCUUCGGACCAAAGAUUUAUCGCCUUUGGAUGGGCCCGCGUUGGAUUAGCUAGUUGGUAGGGUAAAAGCCUACCAAGGCGACGAUCCAUAGCUGGUCUGAGAGGAUGAUCAGCCACACUGGGACUGAGACACGGCCCAGACUCCUACGGGAGGCAGCAGUGGGGAAUUUUGGACAAUAGGGGCAAACCCGAUCCAGCCAUGCCGCGUGCGGGAAGAAGGCCUUCGGGUUGUAAACCGCUUUUGUUCGGGAAGAAAUCCUCUGGGCUAAUACCCCGGGGGGAUGACGGUACCGGAAGAAUAAGCACCGGCUAACUACGUG
RNAcentral lists this ribosomal RNA (458 nucleotides) under uncultured bacterium. RNAcentral's name for it is "partial 16S ribosomal RNA". It matches the Rfam family "Bacterial small subunit ribosomal RNA", at positions 29 to 507 of the family's 1533-position model. The record is from RNAcentral.